UGCGAAUCAACGGUUCCUCUC
Molecule: non-coding RNA, 21 nt
Filed under: Arabidopsis thaliana (thale cress)
Lineage: Eukaryota; Viridiplantae; Streptophyta; Magnoliopsida; Brassicales; Brassicaceae
Source: RNAcentral